GAAACUUGAAGCUUGGAGAAACAUGCUUUUCAGACGAACAAUGCCAUAAUUCAAAGGGACGCCGAAAAUGUUCAAACAAUCGCUGCGCAUGUGAAGAAAGAUUUAUAGGAUAUACUUUUAUGGAUAAAUGUGUUCCUGAUUCCAUCCAUGAAAGAGGUGCUUCAUAUGGAGAAGAAUGCCUAUUCAGCGAGCAAUAUAAUUUUUAUGGAGGAGUCUGUUCAAGAAGCCAAACAUGCUCUUGUCGACCUGGUUUCUUUUACAAUACUGACAAAAAGCAUUGUUAUCAAGAUGUACAGGUACUUGGCAUUGUUAUAGCAACUGGUAUUCCUGGACUAGUUAUUGGUGUUUUCACGGGAUUUGUCUUAAUGUUCAUUACUCUAAGAAAAACAUAAAGGAACAAAAAUUUAAUUAUGAUUAUCAAGUGUUUGGUGAUUGGUCCUCUGCAGUUGGAAACAUCAACUUAAACGACUUACUUUUACGUUGAUAAUAACUCUAAAAAAGGAGUUUUGUUGUAAUGGUGAAUGUUCCAUAUCUGUUUCAUUUUAUUCUAAUAAAAUCAAACUUAAACACAUUUCAUUUCUUUGUUUACAUUUAUAUUGUAAGGAUUAG
Molecule: long non-coding RNA, 609 nt
Organism: Saccostrea cuccullata (small rock oyster)
Lineage: Eukaryota; Metazoa; Mollusca; Bivalvia; Ostreida; Ostreidae
Exons: 4
Source: RefSeq, a predicted model, not a curated record